Molecule: non-coding RNA, 21 nt
Filed under: Caenorhabditis elegans
Lineage: Eukaryota; Metazoa; Nematoda; Chromadorea; Rhabditida; Rhabditidae
Source: RNAcentral
UGAACCCGAGUAAACUCAAAU